This 1212-nucleotide long non-coding RNA is filed under the name Felis catus (domestic cat). RNAcentral describes it as "lncRNA (ENSFCAG00000052740.1)". Lineage: Eukaryota; Metazoa; Chordata; Mammalia; Carnivora; Felidae. The record is from RNAcentral.
AGAGGCCGGGCCCCCGCGAAAGCUGCGAACUCUCAUUGGGCCGCGCAGCACGUCGGAUCGCCUGACUGGCAGGAGGCAGCUGCAGAGGGGAGGGGAGCGCAGAAGGUGCAAAAGCUUUCUUGCAGCCCAAGCUUUCCCUGGUUAUUAGGCAUGCCCAGUUGUGUGGAGCACUCCGUCUUCGGCUGAGGUGCGGUGAAAGGAGAGAGCGGGAAAAACACCCGUUAGCAGAGAAGCUCGGGUCCAAGACAGCAAGGGAGAUGGAGAUGAAGACUGAGCGGCUGAGAGAAUGAGAAAGCACCAGGGAAAGUAUCAGGUAGACGGGACUUCACCUGCGUCCCUAAGGUACAGGUGUCCCCCUCUCCAUCGUGCAGCUCAGACGCACUCCAGUGUGCAAGAAUCAGCAGCGCACCGGGUCUGGAAAUAUCAUGAAGACUGCUUGUGAUCGGCGGCUGAUAUUUCCAAUGAGCCUGACCUACAUCUCGGAGACGCAGCAGGAUGUUCAUUGAUAAACAAAGCGGCUCUGGGGCGAUAUUGUACAGCAACAUGCUUCCAGUGUACAAUCAUUAGCGUAUUGACUUAGUCCUGGUUUCCUUCCCAUCCAUCCCGCCUCCCCUAAUCCCUAUCUAUAGGAAAGGUUCUGGGAGGGUCCUGAAUUUUAAAACUAAAAAGCGAUAUAAUCAGUUAACUAGAGUUUGUGAAAGAAUUGGGAAAACAGUGGAAGAAGGAAGAGCCCAGAAAAUAGGUAACCACGGUUGCUCUAAUUUCCCCCUUUCUCCUUAUUUUAGAUGUGACAGUGCGUUUCACCAGGUGCUGUGGCUGAGCUACUUUGUAUCUAUCCCACCUCUAUUUAAAGGAGACUUAAACCCUGCAGGUAUGGAAAUGAAGGCGGAGACGGAGAAGUUCAGUGACCCAGAAGUAACAAAUACAAUCUCCUUGGCGCCAUCCAUGUUCAUCCCACCCAGAGACUGAGUGUAUGUUACCAUGGGGCCAUGGUGCACUAAGAAGAUAGUAUGGAGAUCUGUCCGAGGGCUGAUUUUAUUAUACAAUGUCUCGGGAUAUCCAGGUCAUUAUAAAUAUGGUAAGCUAACUUUUACUUUUAGUUAUUAUCAAAAAGAUUUAUAAUUGUAUUUUCCCAGGUAAACUCUCAGCAAAUGCCUAAAAAUAUAUUCUAACAGAAAUAAAAGUGUUAAUGUAGCUUUAAAACUAUUUUUU